RNAcentral lists this ribosomal RNA (558 nucleotides) under uncultured bacterium. Its description in RNAcentral is "bacterial SSU rRNA". It matches the Rfam family "Bacterial small subunit ribosomal RNA", at positions 331 to 896 of the family's 1533-position model. The record is from RNAcentral.
CCAGACUCCUACGGGAGGCUGCAGUCGAGGAUCUUCGGCAAUGGGCGCAAGCCUGACCGAGCGACGCCGCGUGUGCGAUUAAGGCCUUCGGGUUGUAAAGCACUGUCGAGGGGGAGAAAAGCCCGCAAGGGUCUGAUCUAUCCCUGGAGUAAGCACGGGCUAAGUUCGUGCCAGCAGCCGCGGUAAGACGAACCGUGCAAACGUUGUUCGGAAUCACUGGGCUUAAAGGGCGCGUAGGCGGGCGGUCAAGUCUGUGGUGAAAUCCUUCGGCUUAACCGGAGAAUAGCUGGAGAUACUGACCGUCUCGAGGGGGGUAGGGGCAUGUGGAACUUCCGGUGGAGCGGUGAAAUGCGUAGAUAUCGGAAGGAACGCCGGUGGCGAAAGCGACGUGCUGGACCCUUUCUGACGCUGAGGCGCGAAAGCCAGGGGAGCAAACGGGAUUAGAUACCCCGGUAGUCCUGGCCCUAAACGAUGGGUACUAGAUUGUGGGCUGACAUGGGUUCACAGUCGAAGCAAAAGUGUUAAGUACCCCGCCUGGGGAGUAUGGUCGCAAGACUG